RNAcentral lists this ribosomal RNA (422 nucleotides) under Salmonella enterica subsp. enterica serovar Enteritidis. RNAcentral's name for it is "bacterial LSU rRNA". It matches the Rfam family "Bacterial large subunit ribosomal RNA", at positions 474 to 899 of the family's 2925-position model. Lineage: Bacteria; Pseudomonadati; Pseudomonadota; Gammaproteobacteria; Enterobacterales; Enterobacteriaceae. The record is from RNAcentral.
UCCUGACUGACCGAUAGUGAACCAGUACCGUGAGGGAAAGGCGAAAAGAACCCCGGCGAGGGGAGUGAAAAAGAACCUGAAACCGUGUACGUACAAGCAGUGGGAGCACCCUUUGGGUGUGACUGCGUACCUUUUGUAUAAUGGGUCAGCGACUUAUAUUCUGUAGCAAGGUUAACCGAAUAGGGGAGCCGGAGGGAAACCGAGUCUUAACCGGGCGUUAAGUUGCAGGGUAUAGACCCGAAACCCGGUGAUCUAGCCAUGGGCAGGUUGAAGGUUGGGUAACACUAACUGGAGGACCGAACCGACUAAUGUUGAAAAAUUAGCGGAUGACCUGUGGCUGGGGGUGAAAGGCCAAUCAAACCGGGAGAUAGCUGGUUCUCCCCGAAAGCUAUUUAGGUAGCGCCUCGUGAAUUCAUCUCCGG